Molecule: ribosomal RNA, 301 nt
Filed under: uncultured bacterium
Lineage: Bacteria
Description: partial 16S ribosomal RNA
Rfam family: Bacterial small subunit ribosomal RNA
Source: RNAcentral
CAGUAGCCGCGGGAAAACGGAGGGGGCUAGCGUUGUUCGGAAUUACUGGGCGUAAAGCGCACGUAGGCGGCUUGGUAAGUUAGAGGUGAAAGCCUGGAGCUCAACUCCAGAAUUGCCUUUAAGACUGCCGAGCUAGCAGGUGAGAGAGGUAAGUGGAAUUCCGAGUGUAGAGGUGAAAUUCGUAGAUAUUCGGAAGAACACCAGUGGCGAAGGCGGCUUACUGGCUCAUACUGGACGCUGAGGUGCGAAAGCGUGGGGAGCAAACAGGAUUAGAUACCCCUGUAGUCCCUGUCUCUUAUAC